GUGUAACGUAGAUUUUCAACACCGCCGUUAAGACGAAUAGGAGCCGCAAGUAGCUUUCAAAAACUGCCGCCGAAAUAGCCGACUUGCACAGUUCGCAAGGAUAGGUUAACGGCAACGGUACUGCCUGGCUCACAGUAAAGCGUCAGCCGUUGCCAUAGUGAUGAGACGCGGUAGAUCAGCUGAUCGCGAGUGAAGCUCUGACAGCUCUAUAGAGAUAGAUAAUCAGUUCGAGUCGGCUUCAACCGGCGUUAUCAUACUCGACUGAAAUCCACCCUAAAAGGCCUCAAUCUCACGAUUUAUCCCACGUAAACAAACAACAAGCAAAAACCAACCACAAAAUGGAGUCAAAACUUCGUUGUACGGGUCACUUUCAGAAGUAGACCUGAACGCUUUCACCCCAGCCAACACUUGAAAAUAUUGGAUUCACGAAACAGGCUGGGAUCUCUGCAAUCAGCUAGUGCUUCCAUCAAACCCUGGUUUUCGUUUUUUUUUUACGAAUCUUCUAGGAUCAACAUACCAAGAGACGUAUGUCGCGUCAUGCGCCGAUAAAGCUUCGGAAGGGUGUACAAUCACGAGUAUCAUGGGGAAGCUGGUGACCCUUCGUUACCAUCCAAAGCAAGGACGACCAUAAGAGAGAGAAAAACCUUUCAAGGACACCUUCUGAUAACUAAAGUUAUGAUUGCAGCUGCUACAAACCGAUGCUGGCCGAAGGCAGAAUUGCUACGUGGCUUGCACAAGCCCAAUCCAAGUUGGACAAAAUGAAUCAGCCAUCAACACCAGCUUCCCCAGUUACAACUACAAUCAACAAUAACUGUGAAGAUGAACCUCACGAAGGGGAUAGGCCUAUACUUGGAUAGAUCAGAAUAUAGUAGCGACAAAAAUUUUCAUAAAACUUGUCUACUUGUUUAAUUUACUCUCAUCAUAAUCAAUAAAUUAGUAAUUGAUUAUAAUCACGGGUUUUAAUCG
Nilaparvata lugens (brown planthopper) is the source of this 966-nucleotide long non-coding RNA. RefSeq lists it as uncharacterized. The transcript has 5 exons. The record is from RefSeq and is a predicted model, not a curated record. Lineage: Eukaryota; Metazoa; Arthropoda; Insecta; Hemiptera; Delphacidae.